Molecule: ribosomal RNA, 119 nt
Filed under: Salmo salar (Atlantic salmon)
Lineage: Eukaryota; Metazoa; Chordata; Actinopteri; Salmoniformes; Salmonidae
Source: RNAcentral
GCUUACGGCCAUACCAGCCUGGGUACGCCCGAUCUCGUCUGAUCUCGGAAGCUAAGCAGGGUCGGGCCUGGUUAGUACUUGGAUGCGAGACCGCCUGGGAAUACCAGGUGCUGUAAGCA